UGGUGUCUGGAGUUCAGACAUUUGCCAUUCGUGUCGGGACCAGAGUGCGGACAGAAGGGAGCCGCCUCUCACCGGUUUCUCACCGUAUGUUCGUGGGGAACCUGGUGCUAAAUCAUUCGUAGACUACCUGAUUCUGGGUCAGGGUUUCGUGCG
Dermochelys coriacea (leatherback sea turtle) is the source of this 153-nucleotide long non-coding RNA. RefSeq lists it as uncharacterized. The transcript has 3 exons. Lineage: Eukaryota; Metazoa; Chordata; Testudines; Dermochelyidae. The record is from RefSeq and is a predicted model, not a curated record.